GNNNNNGCGGNGNGCUAUACAUGCAGUCGAGCGAAUGGAUUAAGAGCUUGCUCUUAUGAAGUUAGCGGCGGACGGGUGAGUAACACGUGGGUAACCUGCCCAUAAGACUGGGAUAACUCCGGGAAACCGGGGCUAAUACCGGAUAACAUUUUGAACUGCAUGGUUCGAAAUUGAAAGGCGGCUUCGGCUGUCACUUAUGGAUGGACCCGCGUCGCAUUAGCUAGUUGGUGAGGUAACGGCUCACCAAGGCAACGAUGCGUAGCCGACCUGAGAGGGUGAUCGGCCACACUGGGACUGAGACACGGCCCAGACUCCUACGGGAGGCAGCAGUAGGGAAUCUUCCGCAAUGGACGAAAGUCUGACGGAGCAACGCCGCGUGAGUGAUGAAGGCUUUCGGGUCGUAAAACUCUGUUGUUAGGGAAGAACAAGUGCUAGUUGAAUAAGCUGGCACCUUGGCGGUACCUAACCAGAAAGCCACGGACAACAACGUGCCAACAGCCACGGUAAUACGUGGGUGGGCAACGAUAUCCGGAAUUUUUUGCCCUUAUAGGGCGCGC
RNAcentral lists this ribosomal RNA (557 nucleotides) under Bacillus cereus. RNAcentral describes it as "bacterial SSU rRNA". It matches the Rfam family "Bacterial small subunit ribosomal RNA", at positions 35 to 572 of the family's 1533-position model. The record is from RNAcentral. Lineage: Bacteria; Bacillati; Bacillota; Bacilli; Caryophanales; Bacillaceae.